AUGCAUGGACGGGCCUGGACAAUGGAUGGCCACCGUGGUACGUACUGGCACAACAUAAAAGAAGAACUAGGGGAGAGAGAGAGAGAGAGAUGCUUGCUGGGGCUAGGCGUCGAGGUCGCCGGUGUUGAGCAAUGCCGCAGCCUGGACGUCACCAUCGGCCCUGGGGCUGCUGCCGGUGGCCGGCGGUUGCGGAGGGGGCCCAGCCAUCGAGGCGACAGCGAGGAGCCCAUGAGAGGGGUUGGAGGAGAAGAUGGACCUGCUUGGGCCGGCGGGAACCGCUGGACGUCGUCGCCGUCAUGGAUUCAGCCGCCGCAGCCGCACCAUACGGGCUGGAUCCGCCGAUCCGGUCGCUGCGUCGACAAAGUCGUGGCUAGGGCCAGCGACGACGUUGCGGUGGGAUGGAGCAGCAUAGGCGGCGGCCGCGUCGUCCCGGUGCCAGAGGAAAAAGGGGGCUGCCGCGCCGUCCCGGUGCCGGUGGAAAAAGGAGGCGGCCGCGUCUGGGGUGGAGGAGCUCCCUUGCGAUCCGCUGGCUAG
Molecule: ribosomal RNA, 534 nt
Filed under: Triticum aestivum (bread wheat)
Lineage: Eukaryota; Viridiplantae; Streptophyta; Magnoliopsida; Poales; Poaceae
Description: partial small subunit ribosomal RNA
Source: RNAcentral